AGGCAAACGGGUGGGCCCUCGAAAUCCCUCUUGCGGAGAGAUUCAGUCCGGGAGCCGGAGAGGCGGUGGCGAGUAACGGAGCCUCGAGAAGGACGGUUCUCGCCCCGCGGUCUCCCCGGUGCCCGACGCAUUUACUCCCCGCACUCUGGACGCCGCAAUGGAUCGGGUAGCUGCGAGAGUCGGCCUUGAGGCCGUCCCAGGCAGGUGGCCGGAUCGUCGGCUUCGUGCCGGCUUCCCGGUUAUCACGGGGCGGUCGCGUGGCGCGACACCCGAUCGACGUCGAAGUUCCCCUUACGGGGAACAGUCCGUCUCCGUCUCCUACGAGGCGCGGCGGCCGGGACAGUGAGCGCCGCAUACACGCCGAACCACUCCCCGUAGUGGCCGGCGGUGCGGUGGCCGUCGUUGGUUCCGGUCUGGCCGCGGAGAGACGACGCGGAUUGCGGCGAGUAGGUCGGUCACCCACCCGACCCGUCUUGAAACACGGACCAAGGAGUCUAACAUGUGCGCGAGUCGCAGGGUCUUGAACAGGCCCUCGGGCGCAAUGAAAGUGACGGUUCUCACGGACCGGGUUGGGACUCCCGUCCUGCGGGGCGGGAAGCACCAACGACCCGUCCCUUCCGAUCCGUCGGUGGGGCGGAGUC
This 641-nucleotide ribosomal RNA is filed under the name Carapoia rheimsae. RNAcentral describes it as "partial 28S ribosomal RNA". The record is from RNAcentral. Lineage: Eukaryota; Metazoa; Arthropoda; Arachnida; Araneae; Pholcidae.